CCCGGCAAUAAAUUGCCGGGCUGUUAUGGGAUGUCCUUACAGGACA
Molecule: non-coding RNA, 46 nt
Organism: Desulfobacteraceae bacterium IS3
Lineage: Bacteria; Pseudomonadati; Thermodesulfobacteriota; Desulfobacteria; Desulfobacterales; Desulfobacteraceae
Source: Rfam